AUACUUACCUGGCAGGGGUGACACCAUGAUCAAGCAGGUGGUUUGCCCAAGGUGAGGCUCUGUCAAUGCACUCUGACUGUGCUGACCCUUGUGAAUUCCCCAAAUGUGGGGAAGGUAAAAUGAGCAUUCAUUAGAAAACUGGACCAACUCCAAA
Molecule: small nuclear RNA, 154 nt
Filed under: Oryzias melastigma (Indian medaka)
Lineage: Eukaryota; Metazoa; Chordata; Actinopteri; Beloniformes; Adrianichthyidae
Description: U1 spliceosomal RNA (ENSOMEG00000001882.1)
Rfam family: U1 spliceosomal RNA
About the family: U1 is a small nuclear RNA (snRNA) component of the spliceosome (involved in pre-mRNA splicing). Its 5' end forms complementary base pairs with the 5' splice junction, thus defining the 5' donor site of an intron. There are significant differences in sequence and secondary structure between metazoan and yeast U1 snRNAs, the latter being much longer (568 nucleotides as compared to 164 nucleotides in human).
Source: RNAcentral